UGUGGCCUACGGGGCGCAGCAGUCGGGAAUAUUGCGCAAUGGAGGAAACUCUGACGCAGUGACGCCGCGUAUAGGAAGAAGGUUUUCGGAUUGUAAACUAUUGUCAUCAGGGAAGAUAAAAGACAGUACCUGAGGAGGAAGCUCCGGCUAACUAUGUGCCAGCAGCCGCGGUAAUACAUAGGGAGCAAGCGUUAUCCGGAUUUAUUGGGUGUAAAGGGUGCGUAGACGGAAAGGAAGUUAAGU
RNAcentral lists this ribosomal RNA (243 nucleotides) under uncultured bacterium. RNAcentral's name for it is "partial 16S ribosomal RNA". It matches the Rfam family "Bacterial small subunit ribosomal RNA", at positions 333 to 592 of the family's 1533-position model. The record is from RNAcentral.